GAUGAGAACGCAGCGAAAUGCGAUACGUAAUGUGAAUUGCAGAAUUCAGUGAAUCAUCGAAUCUUUGAACGCAUAUUGCGCUCUCUGGUAUUCCGGAGAGCAUGCUUGUUUGAGUAUCAGUAAACACCUCAACUUCCAUAUCUUUUUUGAAAUGGGAGUUGGACUUGAGUGAUCCCAACGCUUUUCCUCACCGAAAAGUGGCGGGUUACUUGAAAUGCAGGUGCAGCUGGACUUUUCUCUGAGCUAUAAGCAUAUCUAUUUAGUCUGCCUAAAAAACAGAUUAUUACCUUUGCUGCAGCUAACAUAAAGGAGAUUAGUUCUUGUGCUGACUGAUGCAGGAUUCACAAAGACGGCUUCGGCCGACUUUGUAAACUCGAUCUCAAAUCAAGUAAGACUACCCGCUGAACUUAAGCAUAUCAAUAAGCGGAGGA
This 431-nucleotide unclassified non-coding RNA is filed under the name soil metagenome. RNAcentral describes it as "partial contains 5.8S ribosomal RNA, internal transcribed spacer 2, and large subunit ribosomal RNA". The stretch from base 5 to 119 matches the Rfam family "5.8S ribosomal RNA", at positions 40 to 154 of the family's 154-position model. The record is from RNAcentral.